UACAGAGGGGGCAAGCGUUAUUCGGAAUUAUUGGGCGUAAAGGGCGCGUAGGCGGCCUGGCGAGUGGAAGGUGAAAUCCCUCGGCUUAACCGAGGAACUGCCUUCCAAACUGCUUGGCUUGAGUCCGGGAGAGGUGAGUGGAAUUCCCAGUGUAGCGGUGAAAUGCGUAGAUAUUGGGAGGAACACCAGUGGCGAAGGCGGCUCACUGGACCGGAACUGACGCUGAUGCGCGAAAGCGUGGGGAGCAAACGGG
This 253-nucleotide ribosomal RNA is filed under the name uncultured bacterium. RNAcentral describes it as "partial 16S ribosomal RNA". It matches the Rfam family "Bacterial small subunit ribosomal RNA", at positions 524 to 776 of the family's 1533-position model. The record is from RNAcentral.